RNAcentral lists this unclassified non-coding RNA (409 nucleotides) under Hevea brasiliensis (rubber tree). The record is from RNAcentral. Lineage: Eukaryota; Viridiplantae; Streptophyta; Magnoliopsida; Malpighiales; Euphorbiaceae.
CGAAGACACGUCUUUGAUCUCCAAUUCUCUGUUUGCAAAUCCCUUCAUAAUCUUCCCUUUCCAAUCCAAUUUUUUCAACUACAAGAAUCUCCUCAAGAAAGAAUCCAAGAGUUCCAUUCCAAUGGGAUCCUACGGCCAAGAAGUGGUUCUAAUCACUGGGUGCAGCCAGGGAGGCAUAGGCCACGCACUGGCGAAGGAGUUUGCAGCCAACAACUGCCUAGUUGUGGCCACAAGCAGGUCCUUAAACUCCAUGAGAGACCUUGAUCAAGACCAUAGAUUCUAUCUCCAAGAACUUAAUGUUUUGUCAGAGGAGAGUAUCCAGCAUGUAAUGUCAAAUGUUCUUGAGAAGUUUGGGAGAGUCGAUAUUUUGGUUAACAAUUCUGGGAUUCAAUGCGUGGCCCCUCUUGCU